This 21-nucleotide non-coding RNA is filed under the name Caenorhabditis elegans. The record is from RNAcentral. Lineage: Eukaryota; Metazoa; Nematoda; Chromadorea; Rhabditida; Rhabditidae.
UCAGAGGAAAUGGAACACGAC